UUUAAAGUCUAAUCUGCCCAAUGAGGGGUUGAAUGGCCGCGGUAUUUUGACUGUGCAAAGGUAGCAUAAUAAUUAGUUUUUUAAUUGAAAGCUGGAAUGAAUGAUUGGACGAGAAAAUUACUGUCUCAAUUUAAUUUAAUUAGAAUUUUAUUUUUAAGUAAAAAAGCUUAAAUAUUAUUAAUAGACGAGAAGACCCUAUAGAGUUUUAUAUUAAUUUAUUUAUUUAUAUUUAGAAUUUUUUUUUAUUUUAUUUAAAUUAUUAUUUUGUUGGGGUGAUAGAAAAAUUUAAUUAACUUUUUUUUUUAAUUUUCAUUAAUUUAUGUUUAAUUGAUCCAUUUUUUAUGAUUAUAAGAUUAAAUUACCUUAGGGAUAACAGCGUAAUUUUUUUUUAGAGUUCUUAUCGAUAAAAAAAAUUGCGACCUCGAUGUUGGAUUAAAAUUAAUUGUUGGUGUAGUAGCUAAUAUAUUGGGUCUGUUCGACCUUUAAAAUUUUACA
RNAcentral lists this ribosomal RNA (495 nucleotides) under Microserica sp. 836043. RNAcentral describes it as "partial 16S large subunit ribosomal RNA". The stretch from base 369 to 495 matches the Rfam family "Bacterial large subunit ribosomal RNA", at positions 2473 to 2600 of the family's 2925-position model. The record is from RNAcentral. Lineage: Eukaryota; Metazoa; Arthropoda; Insecta; Coleoptera; Scarabaeidae.